CAGCACCUCAAGUGGUCAGGAUGAUUAUUGGGCCUAAAGCAUCCGUAGCCGGCGCUGUAAGUUUUCGGUUAAAUCUGUACGCUCAACGUACAGGCUGCCGGGAAUACUGCAGCGCUAGGGAGUGGGAGAGGUAGACGGUACUCGGUAGGAAGGGGUAAAAUCCUUUGAUCUAUUGAUGACCAUCUGUGGCGAAGGCGGUCUACCAGAACACGUCCGACGGUGAGGGAUGAAAGCUGGGGGAGCAAACCGGAUUAGAUACCCGAGUAGUCC
This 270-nucleotide ribosomal RNA is filed under the name uncultured archaeon. Its description in RNAcentral is "partial 16S ribosomal RNA". It matches the Rfam family "Archaeal small subunit ribosomal RNA", at positions 477 to 747 of the family's 1478-position model. The record is from RNAcentral.